Molecule: ribosomal RNA, 507 nt
Filed under: Penicillium sp. ASR-270
Lineage: Eukaryota; Fungi; Ascomycota; Eurotiomycetes; Eurotiales; Aspergillaceae
Description: eukaryotic LSU rRNA
Rfam family: 5.8S ribosomal RNA (bases 204-357)
Source: RNAcentral
UAGUGAACCUGCGGAAGGAUCAUUACCGAGUGCGGGCCCUCGCGGCCCAACCUCCCACCCUUGUCUCUCUACCCCUGUUGCUUUGGCGGGCCCACCGGGGCCACCUGGUCGCCGGGGGACGCACGUCCCCGGGCCCGCGCCCGCCGAAGCGCUCUGUGAACCCUGAUGAAGAUGGGCUGUCUGAGUACGAUGAAAAUUGUCAAAACUUUCAACAAUGGAUCUCUUGGUUCCGGCAUCGAUGAAGAACGCAGCGAAAUGCGAUAAGUAAUGUGAAUUGCAGAAUUCCGUGAAUCAUCGAAUCUUUGAACGCACAUUGCGCCCCCUGGCAUUCCGGGGGGCAUGCCUGUCCGAGCGUCAUUUCUGCCCUCAAGCACGGCUUGUGUGUUGGGUGUGGUCCCCCCGGGGACCUGCCCGAAAGGCAGCGGCGACGUCCGUCUGGUCCUCGAGCGUAUGGGGCUCUGUCACUCGCUCGGGAAGGACCUGCGGGGGUUGGUCACCACCAUGUUU